CCAGCAGCCGCGGUAAUUCCAGCUCCAAUAGCGUAUAUUAAAGUUGUUGCAGUUAAAAAGCUCGUAGUUGGAUUUCUGAUGAAGAUGGCGGUCCGUGUAUUUGAUACAUGUGUACCGUUAUAUAAUUUUCAUCAUACUUGUAUUUUUAUAGUUUACUAUAUGAAUACAUCAUUUACUGUGAACAAAUUAGAGUGUUUAAAGCAGGCAAUUGCUUGAAUACUUCAGCAUGGAAUAAUAAGAUAGGACUUUGGUGCUAUUUUGUUGGUUGCGUACCGAAGUAAUGAUUAAUAGGGAUAGUUGGGGGUAUUCAUAUUUCAUUGUCAGAGGUGAAAUUCUUGGAUUUAUGAAAGAUGAACAACUGCGAAAGCAUUUACCAAGGAUGUUUUCA
Molecule: ribosomal RNA, 388 nt
Filed under: uncultured eukaryote
Lineage: Eukaryota
Description: SSU rRNA
Rfam family: Eukaryotic small subunit ribosomal RNA
Source: RNAcentral